GGGAUUGUGGCUCAGUGGUAGAGCACUUGCCUAGCACAUAUGAGUCCCUGGGUUCGAUCCUCAGCACCA
RNAcentral lists this transfer RNA (69 nucleotides) under Ictidomys tridecemlineatus (thirteen-lined ground squirrel). RNAcentral's name for it is "Spermophilus tridecemlineatus (thirteen-lined ground squirrel) tRNA". It matches the Rfam family "tRNA". Rfam says of the family: Transfer RNA (tRNA) molecules are approximately 80 nucleotides in length. The record is from Rfam by way of RNAcentral. Lineage: Eukaryota; Metazoa; Chordata; Mammalia; Rodentia; Sciuridae.